Molecule: non-coding RNA, 1053 nt
Organism: Danio rerio (zebrafish)
Lineage: Eukaryota; Metazoa; Chordata; Actinopteri; Cypriniformes; Danionidae
Source: Ensembl
CAGUCCAUAGCAUCAGUGCCUUUGUCUUGCAGGAACUGCUGACACACUCCAGCCACAUGAGGUCUAGCAUUGUCCUGCAUUAGGAGGAACCCUGGGCCAACUACACUGGCAUAUAGUCUCACAAGGGGUCUGAGGAUCUCAUCUCGGUACCUAAUGGCAGUCAGGCUACCUCUGGCAAGCCCAUGGAGGGCUAUGCGGCCCUCCAAAGAAAUGCCACCCCAAAAUGGGUCAUGCUGCAGGAUGUUGCAAGCAACACAAUGUUCUCCACAGUGUCUCCAGACUCUGUCAAGUUUGUCAGUGUGAACCUGGUUUUAUCUGUGAAGAGCACAGGGUGCCAGUGGCGAAUUUGUCUUGGUGUUCUUUGGCAAAUGCCAAACGUCUUGCACGGUGUUGGGCUAUAAGCACAACCCACACCUGUGGAUGUCUGGCCCUCAUACCACUCUCAUGGUCUCUGUUUCUUACUGUUUGAGCAGACAUAUGCACAUUUGGGGCCUGCUGGAGGUCAUUUUACUGUGCUCUGCCAGUGCUCCUCCUGUUCCUUCUUGCACAAAGACAAAGGUAGCAGUCCUGCUGCUGGGUUGUUGCCCUACUACAGUCUCUUCCAUGUCUUCUGAUGUAUUGGCCUGUCUCCUUGUAACACCUUCAUGCACUGGACAAUACGCUGACAGUCACAGCAAACUUUCUUGCCACAGCUCGCAUUGAUGUGCCAUCCUGGAUGAGCUGCACUACCAGAGCCACUCGUGUGGGUUGUAGACAGGGCCGGCGCGUCCAUAGAGGCAACCUAGCACUGCCAGCAUUCAAAAGUGACCAAAACAUUAGCCAGAAAGCAUAAGGACUGAGACGUGAUCUGUGGUGAACACAGUGUCUUGCUAAUUGCCUAUAAUUCCCUCUUUUUGUCUUUUCCAUUUGCACAGCAGCAUGUGAAAUUGACUGUCCAUCAGUUUUGCUUAAUAAGUGGGUAGUUUGAUUUCACAGAAGUGUGAUUGACUUUGAGCUACACUGUGUUGUUUGAGUGUUCUAUUUAUUUUUUCAAGCAGUGUAUAAUGAUUCGGU